This 252-nucleotide unclassified non-coding RNA is filed under the name uncultured Planctomycetia bacterium. Its description in RNAcentral is "contains 16S-23S intergenic spacer region". It matches the Rfam family "Bacterial small subunit ribosomal RNA", at positions 524 to 776 of the family's 1533-position model. The record is from RNAcentral. Lineage: Bacteria; Pseudomonadati; Planctomycetota; Planctomycetia.
GACGAACCGUGCAAACGUUAUUCGGAAUCACUGGGCUUAAAGGGCGCGUAGGCGGGUAAUCAAGACAAUGGUGAGAGCCUCCAGCUUAACUGGAGAAGUGCCUUUGAUACUGAUUGUCUAGAGUGAGGUAGGGGCUGUGGAACUUCCGGUGGAGCGGUGAAAUGCGUAGAUAUCGGAAGGAACGCCAGUGGCGAAAGCGAUGUGCUGGACCUUUUCUGACGCUGAGGCGCGAAAGCUAGGGGAUCAAACGGG